This 432-nucleotide ribosomal RNA is filed under the name Triticum aestivum (bread wheat). Its description in RNAcentral is "partial small subunit ribosomal RNA". Lineage: Eukaryota; Viridiplantae; Streptophyta; Magnoliopsida; Poales; Poaceae. The record is from RNAcentral.
AUGGACCAUUCCAUCCCUUAGUCCUGUGGCUAUGCAUCAGACUCGGAUGACGAAGGUCCCGAUGAACAAGUUGAUGAGGAGGGGUUCACGGUGAAGGAGGCCGAAGCUUUUGAGAAGGUAUUCGGGCGAGAUCAUCGGACUACAUUGUUCAAGGAUGUUAGUCUCGCGGAUGAAGCCAUGGUAGAUGGUGGACAAGGUAUAUCUCUUGGUGUUAGGCCAAGAUCUCACCGCAAUCUGGAAGACGGCAAGAACAGGAUUGCUCGCGGGUCUAAGUUCGAAACCUUCUUGGAAUUGAAGAUGUGGCUCGACAACUACUCGGUUACGCAUUAUCAUCCACACAAGGUGGUGAACUCGGACGUCAAUGUGCGCUACACCAUUGCAUGUGAAGAUGAAAAAUGUUUGUGGAUUGUGCAUGCAAGACCAUGGAAAUGA